CGAGAGGCCCAAACGUUAUUCGGAAUUACUGGGCUUAAAGAGUUCGUAGGCGGCGCGGAAAGUAGGGUGUGAAAGCCCUCGGCUUAACCGAGGAAUUGCGCCCUAAACUACCGUGCUUGAGGAAGCUAGAGGUGAGCGGAACUGAUGGUGGAGCGGUGAAAUGCGUUGAUAUCAUCAGGAACACCGGAGGCGAAGGCGGCUCACUGGGGCUUUUCUGACGCUGAGGAACGAAAGCCAGGGUAGCGAACGGGAUUAGAUACCCCGGUAGUCCUGGCCGUAAACGAUGAGCACUAGGCCGGAGGGCUGCACAGCUUUUCGGCCGUAGCUAAAGUGUUAAAGUGCUCCGCCUGGGGAGUAUGGUCGCAAGGCUG
Molecule: ribosomal RNA, 371 nt
Filed under: uncultured organism
Description: bacterial SSU rRNA
Rfam family: Bacterial small subunit ribosomal RNA
Source: RNAcentral